Cottoperca gobio is the source of this 2296-nucleotide long non-coding RNA. NCBI's taxonomy places the organism in Eukaryota, Metazoa, Chordata, Actinopteri, Perciformes, Bovichtidae. The record is from Ensembl.
UACCUGUCUUUACAUCUAUCCCUCUGACGCACAGGCCUAUAAAUAAUGACCGCUGUGUGUGUGUGUGUGUGUGUGUGUGUCAGACAGCAGCAGUCCAAUCUAAUAAAGAGCAGCAGCCUGUCUGUUUAUCUGUUACAUCUGCAUCAUGUUGCUGUUUACUCCUCUUUUCUUCUUCUCCUUCUCCUCCUUCUUCUUCUCCUUCUUCUCCUUCUCCUCCUUCUUUUUCUCCUUCUCCUUCUUCUUCUUCUUCUCCUCCUCCUCCUUCUUCUCCUUCUUCUUCUUCUUCUUCUUCUCCUUCUCCUCCUUCUUCUUCUCCUUCUUCUUCUUCUUCUUCUUCUUCUUCUUCUUCUUCUCCUUCUUCUUUCUUCUUUCUUCGUCUCUUUCUUCUUCGUCUCCUUCUUCUCCUCCUUCUAAUUUUCCUUCUUCUUCUCCUCCUCCUUCUUCUUUUCCUUCUUCUUCUCCUUCUUCUCUUCUCCUUCUCCUUGUUCUUCUUAUUGUACUCCUUGUUCUUCUUCUCCUUCUCCUCAUCCUCCUUAUUUUCCUUCUUCUUCUCCUUCUCCUCCUUCUCCUUCUUAUUUUCCUUCUCCUCCUUCUUAUUCUCCUUUUCCUUCUUCUUCUCCUUCUCCUUGUUCUUCUUCUUCUUCUCCUUCUCCUUCUCCUUCUUGUUCCUCUUCUUCUCCUUCUCUUUCUUCUCCUUGUUCUUCUUCUCCUUGUUCUUCUCCUCCUUCUUCUUCUCCUCCUUCUUCCUUCUUCUUCUCUUCCUUCUUCUUCUUCUCCUUCUUCUCCUUCUUCUCCUCCUUCUCCUUGUUCUCUCUUCUCCUUGUUCUUCUUAUUGUACUCCUUGUUCUUCUCCUUCUUCUCCUUCCUUCUUCUUAUUUUCCUUCUCCUCCUUCUUAUUCUCCUUUUCCUUCUUCUUCUCCUUCUUCUUCUCCUUCUCCUUCUUGUUCUUGUUCCUCUUCUUCUCCUUCUUCUCUUUCUUCUCCUUGUUCUUCUUCUCCUUCUUCUCCUUCUUCUUAUUUUCCUUCUUCUUCUCCUCCUCCUCCUUCUUUUCCUUCUUCUUCUCCUCCUUCUCCUUCUCCUUGUUCUUCUUAUUGUACUCCUUGUUCUUCUUCUCCUUCUCCUCCUCCUCCUUCUUCUUCUUAUUUUCCUUCUUCUUCUCCUCCUUCUCCUUCUUCUUAUUUUCCUUCUCCUCCUUCUUAUUCUCCUUUUCCUUCUUCUUCUCCUUCUUCUUCUCCUUCUUCUCCUUGUUCUUCUUCUUCUCCUUCUUCUCCUUGUUCUUCUUGUUCCUCUUCUUCUCCUUCUCUUUCUUCUCCUUGUUCUUCUUCUCCUUGUUCUUCUCCUCCUUCUUCCUUCUUCUUCUCCUCCUUCUUCUUUUCCUUCUUUUUCUCCUUCUUCUCCUCCUUCUCCUUGUUCUCCUUCUCCUUGUUCUUCUUAUUGUACUCCUUGUUCUUCUUCUCCUUCUUCUCCUCCUUCUCCUUCUUCUUAUUUUCCUUCUCCUCCUUCUUAUUCUCCUUUUCCUUCUCCUUCUUCUUCUUGUUCUUGUUCCUCUUCUUCUCCUUCUUCUCCUUGUUCUUCUCCUUCUUCUUAUUUUCCUUCUUCUUCUCCUUCUUCUCCUCCUUCUCCUUGUUCUCCUUCUCCUUGUUCUUCUUAUUGUACUCCUUGUUCUUCUUCUCCUUGUUCUUCUCCUCCUCCUCCUUCUCCUUCUUAUUUUCCUUCUUCUUCCUCCUCCUUCUCCUUCUUCUUUUCCUUCUCCUCCUCCUUAUUCUCCUUUUCCUUCUUCUUCUCCUUCUUCUUCUCCUUCUUCUUCUCCUUGUUCUUCUUCUUCUCUUCUCCUUUGUUCUUCUUGUUCCUCUUCUUCUCCUUCUCUUUCUUCUCCUUGUUCUUCUUCUCCUUGUUCUUCUCCUCCUCCUUCUUCUUCUUCUUCUCCUCCUUCUUCUUCUUCUUUUCCUUCUUUUUCUUUUCUCCUCCUUCUUCUUGUUCUUCUUCUCCUUCUUCUCAUUGUACUCCUUGUUCUUCUUCUCCUUCUUCUCCUCCUUCUCCUUCUUCUUAUUUUCCUUCUCCUCCUUCUUAUUCUCCUUUUCCUUCUUCUUCUCCUUCUUCUCUUCUCCUUCUUCUCCUUCUUCUUCUUCUCCUUCCCCUUGUUUCCCUUCUUCGAAACGUCUCAUGUGUUUGUCUUUAAAAUGUUCCAGAAACUAAAAUGACAGAUCUAAAGUUUGGAACAACAUCUCAGCUGAUGAAUGGAGACAUUUUUAUGGGACAAUCCGUCUCCUUUUUUUGUUUUUUUCUGUCUUGGUUU